AAAAUAUACAAUACUAUAAUAAAAAAAAGGAUGAGGAAAAAACUAACAAAGAUAGCCUUUUUAAUAGCACAGGUAUAGAUAUUAUGAAUGUAAGAGAGAAUUAUGAUGAUAUAGCUAGACAAAUAGAUGGAGUGGGGCUAUAUGAAAAGUAUGACAAUAGUAGCAGUAGUAGUAAAAAACAAAACGAUAUUAUUGUCUUAAAUAAAGACAAAGGUGCUUCUAUUCAUCAACAAGUGUCAAACAAAUUAGUAGAAUAUACAAAUGAAGAAAUUAAUAAAAUGAGUGAAUUGCAAGUAAAAGAUGAACUCAGAAAAAGAGGUUACCCUGUAUUUGGAACCAUAGAAGAAAUAAAAAUGAGAUUAUCUAAUGUUAUGAAAAUUAGAGAAAAACAUAAUUUAGAUAUACAGGGAAUUUUAAAACAACCUGAGAAACAUAUAUUAUCAAGUUUACGUCUGGAUAAAUUAAAAGAAAGUAUACAAGAGUAUAAAGAAAACGAACAAGCUUCUGACACUGAAUCUAAAAUAAGACAACUAGAUGCAGGUAUUGAAAUUGAAAAUUUUUUAGAUGACCCAGUUAAUUAUUUAAGAGUAGAUACAACACAUAAACUGGCUCAAAUAAGUGAGUUGCCAUAUGGGGCGGGAAAUAUCAAUAGUGGUGGUGUACGUGAUAGUAGCAGUGGUGUUAGUGACAGUAGCAGUGGUGUUAGUGACAGUAGCAGUGGUGUACGUGACAGUAGCAGUCGUGUUAGUGACAGUAGCAGUAGUGUAAGUAACAGUAGCAGUAAUGUAAGUAACAUACAAUCCCAAACGGAUAAUAAUAACAGUGGUACAGAAUUAGACAACGAAGAAAUUAAUAAAAUUCCCAUAAUCAAUGACUAUAAUUUUGAAAAAGAAAUAAUGAUGGCAGAUAAAUUAACAAAAACUUUUAAUUUUUAUUCGGAUGGGCCAGAGGCACCUAAAAGCGUCGUUCAAUAUAAUGAGUUUGACGAUAAUAUAAAUGAAGAGAAAUACAGAAAAGAGGUACUAAAGUAUGGUGCUCUCGUAGAAACCGUAAACGAAUUUUAUAUAAAGCAUCAGCUUAACCUGGACUUCAUUGGAGAUUUUAUUUGUAAAGUUACAGAUGCUGACAUAAGUGAAACAAAUAAAUAUAAACGUAAAACAAAAGAUGAAAUAGAAAAACGAGUACAGAAUAAUGAUUAUGACUUAUUACUUUUUGAUGAUGAUAAUAAUAUAAAUGAUAAUUUUAUUGUUUAUAAUUUUGUUAAUCCAAAUCAGUUAAUUAAAAAAUAUCUAUCAACAAAAAAUAUUACGAUGUUAAUUGAAUAUUCAAAUAUAGCUGACCCUGUAGAUAUAAAUCAUUAUUAUGCACCAGAGACGUUAUACAUGCUUAGUCAUGAGUAUAAUAUUACUAUUGAUAAAAUUAUAGAAGCCUGUACACAGCUAAAUAUAAAAUUACCUUAUGGUGGUGAUACACAUUUGAAUAUGCCUUGCUUUAAUAUGUUAACGUCUUACUUGAAUAAUCAUUUCAGAGUAUCUACGGGCUCUUCCGUUCGUGUCUGAUCAGGCAUAUCGGGAAAAAAAGAAAAAAAAAAAAAAAAAAAAAAAAAGAGAGUAAAAGAAAAGAAAAAAAAAGAGAGAGUAAAAGCAAAUCCGUUAAUACGGACAUGCCUUUAUUCGGUUAUUUAGUUAGUUAUUUUGUUAGUUAAUAUGUCAGUUUUUUUUUUUUUUUUGUUUAUUCCCCAUUUUUUUUUGUACAUUUUUUCUAUUCAACUUUUACGAAAUUUAUAUAUACAUAUAGUUUUUUUUACCACUUAACAACUCAACGACUUAACGAC
This is a long non-coding RNA of Piliocolobus tephrosceles (Ugandan red Colobus), 1834 nucleotides long. Lineage: Eukaryota; Metazoa; Chordata; Mammalia; Primates; Cercopithecidae. The record is from Ensembl.